GACGAACGCUGGCGGCGUGCUUAACACAUGCAAGUCGAACGGAAAGGCCCGGCUUUUGUGGGGUGCUCGAGUGGCGAACGGGUGAGUAACACGUGAGUAACCUGCCCUUGACUUUGGGAUAACUUCUGGAAACUGGGGCUAAUACCGGAUAGGAGCUCCUGCUGCAUGGUGGGGGUUGGAAAGUUUCGGCGGUUGGGGAUGGACUCGCGGCUUAUCAGCUUGUUGGUGGGGUAGGGGCUGACCAAGGCUUUGACGGGUAGCCGGCCUGAGAGGGUGACCGGCCACAUUGGGACUGAGAUACGGCCCAGACUCCUACGGGAGGCAGCAGUGGGGAAUAUUGCACAACGGGCGGAAGCCUGAUGCAGCAACGCCGCGUGCGGGAUGACGGCCUUCGGGUUGUAAACCGCUUUCGCCUGUGACGAAGCGUGAGUGACGGUAAUGGGUAAAGAAGCACCGGCUAACUACGUG
Molecule: ribosomal RNA, 468 nt
Filed under: uncultured bacterium
Lineage: Bacteria
Description: partial 16S ribosomal RNA
Rfam family: Bacterial small subunit ribosomal RNA
Source: RNAcentral